GGGGAAUUUUGGACAAUGGGGGAAACCCUGAUCCAGCAAUGCCGCGUGAGUGAAGAAGGCCUUCGGGUUGUAAAGCUCUUUCAGUUGAGAAGAAAAGAUUGUGACUAAUAAUCAUAAUUAAUGACAGUAUCAACAGAAGAAGCACCGGCUAACUACGUGCCAGCAGCCGCGGUAAUACGUAGGGUGCGAGCGUUAAUCGGAAUUACUGGGCGUAAAGGGUGCGCAGGCGGUUAUGUAAGUCAGAUGUGAAAUCCCCGGGCUUAACCUGGGAAUUGCGUUUGAAACUACAUGACUAGAGUGUAACAGAGGGAAGUGGAAUUCCAUGUGUAGCAGUGAAAUGCGUAGAGAUAUGGAGGAACAUCGAUGGCGAAGGCAGCUUCCUGGGUUAACACUGACGCUCAUGCACGAAAGCGUGGGGAGCAAAC
RNAcentral lists this ribosomal RNA (425 nucleotides) under uncultured bacterium. Its description in RNAcentral is "bacterial SSU rRNA". It matches the Rfam family "Bacterial small subunit ribosomal RNA", at positions 356 to 773 of the family's 1533-position model. The record is from RNAcentral.